CAUGGACCCGGCUCCUUGUCGGGUGGCUAUGCCGGGCGCCUAUCCCUCGGCCAACG
RNAcentral lists this non-coding RNA (56 nucleotides) under Fulvimarina manganoxydans. RNAcentral describes it as "Rhizobiales bacterium 8.047 sul1 RNA". It matches the Rfam family "sul1 RNA". The record is from Rfam by way of RNAcentral. Lineage: Bacteria; Pseudomonadati; Pseudomonadota; Alphaproteobacteria; Hyphomicrobiales; Aurantimonadaceae.